CAGCCGCCGCGGGAAUACGAAGGGUGCAAGCGUUACUCGGAAUUACUGGGCGUAAAGCGUGUGUAGGUGGUGGUUUAAGUCCGUUGUGAAAGCCCUGGGCUCAACCUGGGAAUUGCAGUGGAUACUGGAUCACUAGAGUGUGGUAGAGGAUAGUGGAAUUUCCGGUGUAGCAGUGAAAUGCGUAGAGAUCGGAAGGAACAUCUGUGGCGAAGGCGACUAUCUGGGCCAACACUGACACUGAGGCACGAAAGCGUGGGGAGCAAACAGGAUUAGAUACCCCAGUAGUCCCUGUCUCUUAUAC
RNAcentral lists this ribosomal RNA (301 nucleotides) under uncultured bacterium. Its description in RNAcentral is "partial 16S ribosomal RNA". It matches the Rfam family "Bacterial small subunit ribosomal RNA", at positions 509 to 807 of the family's 1533-position model. The record is from RNAcentral.